UGGGGAAUUGUUCACAAUGGGCGCAAGCCUGAUGACGCAACGCCGCGUGGGGGAUGAAGGUCUUCGGAUUGUAAACCCCUGUCGAACGGGACGAAAGACCCGGGAGCUAAUCAUCCCGGGAGUGACGGUACCGUUAAAGGAAGCCACGGCUAACUCUGUGCCAGCAGCCGCGGUAAUACAGAGGUGGCAAGCGUUGUUCGGAAUUACUGGGCGUAAAGGGCGCGUAGGCGGCCCACUAAGUCAGACGUGAAAUCCCCCGGCUUAACCUGGGAACUGCGUCUGAUACUGGAGGGCUUGAGUAUGGGAGAGGGAUGUAGAAUUCCAGGUGUAGCGGUGAAAUGCGUAGAUAUCUGGAGGAAUACCGGUGGCGAAGGCGGCAUCCUGGACCAUUACUGACGCUGAGGCGCGAAAGCUAGGGGAGCAAACGGGAUUAGAUACCCCGGUAGUCCUAGCCCUAAACGAUGAAUGCUAGUUGUCGGCAUGCAUGCAUGUCGGUGACGCAGCUAACGCAUUAAGCACUCCGCCUGGGGAGUACGGUCGCAAGAUUAC
Molecule: ribosomal RNA, 549 nt
Filed under: uncultured Acidobacteriota bacterium
Lineage: Bacteria; Pseudomonadati; Acidobacteriota
Description: bacterial SSU rRNA
Rfam family: Bacterial small subunit ribosomal RNA
Source: RNAcentral